GCCGGUCCUCGGUAGUGGCUCCCGGGCCCGCCGCCGUCCCCGUCGGGGAGCGGCACGCCCGAGGGCUUCGAUCGAAGACCGGC
This is a regulatory RNA element of 83 nucleotides. It matches the Rfam family "Actino-pnp RNA". The record is from Rfam.